Long non-coding RNA from Quercus robur (English oak), 573 nucleotides. RefSeq lists it as uncharacterized. Lineage: Eukaryota; Viridiplantae; Streptophyta; Magnoliopsida; Fagales; Fagaceae. The transcript is spliced from 3 exons. The record is from RefSeq and is a predicted model, not a curated record.
CCGAUAUGAUCGCGUCAUCAAGGAGACGCGAGCCAACGAUUAAUACAGCAACGGAGUUUAGGAGUUCCCCACUAGGGUUGUGAGAGAGAGAGAGAGAGAGAGUGAAAAGUCUCUCCAAGCCUCCAAAGGCAGAGAGAAAAAAAAAAAAGAGCACCCAAGUGUGUGUCAAAAUAUUUUGUUUGCUGAGUUUCUGAGGCUGAGAUCUCUCUCUCUCUCCUGGGCUCGCAAAACUCGAAGAGAAAGCAGUGGAAAAAUAAAGAGCUUGGUUGAAUGAGUAUGGAGUGGUGGGAUAAGGUGAAGAUUCCCAUUCGACGUGUUUGGAUCGGCGUUGCCACGCGUCUUGGGAUUCGCAAAAGCGCAGGACUACUGAAGCUGAGACAUGAUGUGAGCACUUGUGAAUAUGAGGAUGUGCGUGUGAUGUGGGAGAUGCUGAAAAGAAGUGAAACGGAGCAAGUCGUCCCUGAAAAGAGCAAGAAGAGAUCCUUUUGGAAUAUCUUUGAUUGGGCUAGGUGCACUCCAUGUCUCUGCCGUGGUCUUUGAUCAUUCAUAUAUGAAAUCUUCUCAGCUCACAAA